This is a non-coding RNA of Thalictrum thalictroides, 75 nucleotides long. The record is from the annotation of a GenBank genome assembly. NCBI's taxonomy places the organism in Eukaryota, Viridiplantae, Streptophyta, Magnoliopsida, Ranunculales, Ranunculaceae.
AGUUGGAGUAGCUCAGUUGGUUAGAUUGGUGGCUCUUAAAGCACAAGGCCGAAGGUUCGAGCCCUUCCUCCACUA